Molecule: small nucleolar RNA, 109 nt
Filed under: Dichomitus squalens LYAD-421 SS1
Lineage: Eukaryota; Fungi; Basidiomycota; Agaricomycetes; Polyporales; Polyporaceae
Source: RNAcentral
ACAAGAUGAACGUUCUAGAUGACGAGUCUGAAAUGUUGCGAACGAGCUUCUCCGCCGCAGCAGUCAUUGACGAUUCCUUUAAAACUAUACCAUUCAUGCUUUUCUGACC